CUGCUCAAUGAAAAAUUUAAAUAGCUGCAGUAAUUUAACUGUACUAAGGUAGCACAAUAAUUAGAUUUAUAAUUAAAAUCUUGAAUGAAAGAUUAAAUGAAAUAUAAACUGUCUCAAUUUAAUAAAUUUAAAUUAUUUUUAAGUAAAAAAACUUAAAUAAAAUUAAAAGACGAGAAGACCCCUUAGAAUUUUAUUUUAAAUUUUUUAUAUUUAUUAAUAAUAAUCAAAACUAAAUAUUUAAUUUAAAAUUUUUUUGGGGUAAAAUUUAAAUUUUAAUAAACUUUAAUUAUUAAAUACAUUAAUUAAUGAAAAAUUAAUCCAAAAUUUUGAUUAAAAAAAUUAAUUACCUAGGGGAUAACAGCAUAAUUUUUUUAAAUAGCACUUAUAUAUAAAAAAGUUUAUGACCUCGAUGUUGAAUUAAGAUAAAAUUAAAAUGUAAAAAAUUUAAAAUUUAAGUCUGUUCGACU
Molecule: ribosomal RNA, 467 nt
Filed under: Zele albiditarsus
Lineage: Eukaryota; Metazoa; Arthropoda; Insecta; Hymenoptera; Braconidae
Description: partial 16S ribosomal RNA
Source: RNAcentral